This is a long non-coding RNA of Syngnathus typhle (broad-nosed pipefish), 1169 nucleotides long. RefSeq lists it as uncharacterized. The transcript is spliced from 3 exons. The record is from RefSeq and is a predicted model, not a curated record. NCBI's taxonomy places the organism in Eukaryota, Metazoa, Chordata, Actinopteri, Syngnathiformes, Syngnathidae.
CAUCAAAUAUGAAAUAUUAAACCGGAAAAAAGCUAUAAGUUGUACAAAUAUUAUGCUUUGUUUUAAACAACCAAUGAUCCGUGUGAAGUGUGGUUGUAUUGCUUCGUUCGAAACGCUACGGGAAGACACGUGCAUAAAUAGUGCGCCACCAUAAAAAAAGAAGAAGAAGAACUGAGUACUUUCCUUCGAGUUGCAUCGAAUUGGAAAGUCGACGCUGCUACAGAAAAAGAACAGAACAACUUACUUUUCAACAAAACACAGAAAGGCUGCAUUUAGGGUGAAGAGCAGUGGAUUGAGCAUGCAGCCUUGGGGGUCCCCCGUGCUCAGCGUGAUGCUGGCGGAGAUCUUGUCGCCAACACGUACCACCUGAGGCCUCUGACAGAGGAAGUCCAGUAGCCAGUUGCAGAGGUGGGUGAGGGCUGAAUGGAGGGCAGAGCAGAUGGCAUCCUCAGAGGACCGUUUGGCUCGGUACGCAAACUGGAAGGGGUCUAUGGAAGCGUAUUUUGACAAACACUCAAGAACUUCUGUAAACCUUUGUCUCCCUGUUCCAAUUCAGCUGUACUCACUUCUACCCGCACUAAUCACUGGCGUGCAAUGUUUGUUUUGGACUGCCUACUAUUAUUGUCCUUAUCUCAUCAUACCGACCAGACAUCUUUGAGUGAAAUGAAAACUUCCCGUUGGCUCGCUUGCUUUGUGUUUGGGUCCACUUAAAACCAACACUAAACAAGCUGCUGUUCUAUUUUAAGAUGGUCGAAACCACUUUUCCUAGUAGUUGGAGUGAGCGUGUUUUCCCCGGGGUAUUCGCAGGGUACAAAAAAGUUACAAAACCAUUCACUCCGGAUGAGCUUUGAGAUGAUGCCAUGGCAAAGAUGUAAUUUCCCUUUUUUUACCCAUGUAGUGAUUUGUGACUCCAGAUUUAGCUCAAGGAGUGGCACGUGAAAAGGUAGGUGUUUAUCUUCUGAUGUCAUCUGUCAAACGCGCACUUUUUAUUGAAGUGCCCCCGGCUCCCGGGUAACGGGUUCAAUAAGCCGGGGUGAAAGGACUCGUCCGUAGCUAACCACCCGAGUUAAAUUAAUUCUACCAGAAUCAAUCUAAUUUCUACACGACACCAAUCCCUCCGAGUAACUCAAUUCGAGGCGAGUCGUCGAAAUGACCGCGCCAUAAUGAUG